This is a long non-coding RNA of Amphimedon queenslandica, 793 nucleotides long. RefSeq lists it as uncharacterized. The transcript is spliced from 7 exons. The record is from RefSeq and is a predicted model, not a curated record. NCBI's taxonomy places the organism in Eukaryota, Metazoa, Porifera, Demospongiae, Haplosclerida, Niphatidae.
CGGUUAGCGCAUUAUUCCUGGAUAGUUGUCCGGAGUUAGGUGUAACUGUUCCUGGAAACUAUCCAUAGGGAUAGACACUAUGAAUAAUAAGUAGUUUAGCUUAAUUAAUGAUUAAUGAAUAAGGGGGAGGGAUGUCAAGGAGCUAUGGAGGCUCACUCAGGAGCUCGCUCAGGAGGCUGAAAGCCUGAAACAUCAAGAAAGGCAGCUCAGUGGAUCAUGGUUUUUUAAAUCACGAAGUCGAUGGAGUACUGGAUUCUCCUAUCUCUUAUGUUCUUUGUCUUCUUGUGUAUAAUACAGUUCCUUACUGAUACUAUAAGCUUGUGUUAACACAUUACAUUUUUGAAUCACAGACACAUUGCGUGUCAAGAAUCAAGAUUCCAUUUCCGGCAAAAGAUGUGGGAGCAGAACUAUCCUAACAACAUGAUGGAGAAUGGAAUUAAGACAAAAUGCUAAGAAUAUUCAGAGCAUGUCCAAUUUAAACAAUGCCGUUAACUACUCAUAAUCAAUAAACAGUUUGUUCCAUGGACAUUAACUUAUUACUUAGAGAAAAUGAUGUGUUGAGAUUAAUAUGCACUAAUGCAAUGUGUCACCAUUUUCUUGAUGCAUCAAGCUUAGGAGAUACUGAGGUCAUCAAUGAGUCUUGCAUUCAAGCUUGCUGUCUUUCAAAAUUAGGACACUGUACAUAAACUUGCAUUUUUGUGUUCUUUUUAUAAUGUUGUAAUUGUUUUUGUUACCUAAAAUAACUAUUCUUUAAUACUAUAAUGCGAUAGCAGUCCAUGAACUGAUGCCACAA